AGGUCGCUACGAUUUUCGUCAAGUAGAAUCGCGAAAUGAGAAUGGCUCGUGCUCGCUCUGGAACUGUUGCGGGGCUUGUGCAGAUAGGACGGAUAAGGGAAACUUUUGUAAGAUUGAAGUUACACGUUCUGCGGCAAUUUACUAUUCCUUUGGGGCUCCCGUGACUCACGCAUGGAACUUCGAUUGCACUGUUUUACAAUCUUGAUAAAAAGAGUGUGUGUACUGACAGUGAACGAAAGAAAGGUCGUUUGGGUUAUUCGAGAACAUUUCUGGCGAAGAGCGAUUGGGACAGCGACAGUGGAGAGAACGAAGAAUGGGAAUCAGACUUGGAGACAUCAAUGCCCGAUGCGUGGUCGCCGUAUGUCACUGUCACCCGCCAGACAGCGCAACAUCCAUGUCAUCGAACAGCUCAACCAUUGCAUCAUCGUAAAUUGAAAUCAACCAAUCGGAUGAUUUAAAAUUAUAUUAGUCGCUACUGCGCGGCGGUACCAAUGCAGCAAAGGAGCGGAAGUGACGAGAAACCGGUGGAAGAUAUAGCACCGAUCAGAGGCGGCUGCGAGUUGACGCAAUCAAUUAUGUUCUGGCCGUCUCUCUCGCAAACGGUGUUACUGCUGCGGUCGGAAGUAACAGUUUAUUACUACUGCAAACCCCGGCCACAGGCGUACGUAAUACACGCCGACGACGUUCAUCGAGUAUCUUCGAUGGAGUCUAUUGAUUUGAACCAUGCGACCGCACAUAACACCGUUCCGUGCCACCAGAAAUUUCGAGCUUCCGGCACCGAUCGAGAAAAACAGAGCGAUUGACUCGCGAUGCCCGCCCAGAGGAAAUUAAUGUAAACUCGACGAAAUUGUAAACUGAUCCCGAGCUAAGAGCCGGCUGGAACACGCGACGUCCCAUUUCAGAAUUACUCGGUGUAUCGUCGAUUUAAGUGUUGGACCUUUCCUUUAUGUUCGGAAACAUGCUAUCGGGGCACAGUGGUGGAUUUUAUGGGGACGUAGGGAAGCGAUGACGACGGUCCCACGCUGAUUUCGUCAUGGCCCGAAAGCCAGUAGUAGAAACGCGGUUUGUGAAUCGUCUGUGCGGAGAACUCGGUGUUUAUUGAUCCCUUGCGGGGCUGACCAACGGUCAAUGAGAUACGGUCUCUCCCUUGCAUGCCGCCCUACGGGCUAAGAGCCCUGCAUUGGUCUCCUUAACGGAAGUUAGCCACCACCCCCCCAAGCUACUCCGUGAUUCAUGCCCUCUAGGAGACGUGAGACGACAUAGAAAAUCGGUGGAUACUUCGAAUCGGAAAAACCGCAGGUAUACAUUUGGAAAGAAGCAUGAUGUUCCAAUGAUAUUCCUCGAAGAGAUAUUCCAAGCAAAACGUCGAGAAGAAACGAAAAGCGAUUGGCGUGCCCAGGGUACGAAACGGGAUUCUUAUCGAAGGGUUCAAUUUACCGCAGCAUACAACAAUGACGUACGGCGAACAGUUGUAUAUACGAUAGCAGAUUUUCUAGCCGAAUCAUUCCCGCGGUUGCGGCAGGAAAUAUGGAAAGUGCAAAUUAACCCUGCGCAACCCAGUUUCCCGUGCUUAUUAAUUCGGUUCCGUGGAGCUGAUAAGUUUUUCUAAUGACAGCGUACAGAAAUCCAGGUCGUCGAUGGAGGAACGCGGACGAGAAACCUUCUAAUGGGGUUAAUUUCCGAGAUCCAGAGGGAUGAACGUGCGCACGGGAGGCCGAGAAUAUACAGAUGAACAAUAAACGUGGACGAUUAUGAGCCGUCGAGGGAUAGGGUGGGAAAGGAUCGAAAGCGGAGGGUAGGAAAGGAAGCGUUGGUUGCGCGCAAUCGCGGCCAACCCCUAUUCUCACCCCUCUUUCCCUGCACCAAUACCUCAACCCUCCUCUCCGCCAAGUGAAACGCUCCGAUCCCCACCAUUUCGACGCAGGAUUCACCUACGCGAGACCUCGAUCCCAACUGCCACGUGGCUUUGGUAAACAAUGCCAGAAUUACUUAACCCUUUUUACACCCUUAACCCAUAUACCGGCGUCUCCGUGCCCCAUCGAUAAUUAUCGUACGAAAUUAUGCACGCGUUGCCAUCGACGUAUCCUCGAAAAAAAACGGGUGGCGAGUUUUAAUGAACCCUCCCUAUUUUACAAUCACAUGUGAAACAAUGUCAAUCUGUUAUUGCUGUUAAGCUCUGCAACUGCAAAUAUUUAUAUUAAUCAAUAUUAUUUUUUAAUUUUACGGUACACAAAAUAACGAGCAUAAACCCCGGAAAUAAAUCUUCAAAGUGGACUUCGAGUGAUCCAGAAUCUAUAGGAUAAUUGAAAACCAUGCAGCUGUUUAAAUAAUUCAAUAUACAUACGUUAAUGAAUUGUUAGUUUAAUUAUACACGAGGCUCGUAAGUCUGUUUAAGGAUCAGAGAAAGUCGCAUGAUCGUGCAACACCCAGGCAAGUUCCCAGCACAGC
This is a non-coding RNA of Megalopta genalis, 2448 nucleotides long. The record is from RefSeq and is a predicted model, not a curated record. Lineage: Eukaryota; Metazoa; Arthropoda; Insecta; Hymenoptera; Halictidae.